GUUCUUAUUCUCUCUAGUCUUUUUAACCAUGUACACCCUUAACACCGGCCUGGAUGAAUCACUAAGAUAAUCACACAACCGAACCUGAUUGAUUAUGUUGAAAGGUAGUACCCUCUGAUUUUUAAAGAAGCUGUGCAUGUAGUUGAUGACAAGUUCUUUCGGUUGAUAAUUCAGUCCACAAUAACUGAUGAUUAAGUUCACAAAAUAAUCAUAUAAAACAUCACUUUGGACUGUCAUAGCUAUCAUCUCAAGCAUUUUGCCCUUCUUCCAACGCUUCCAUACAUAUCGAUUGCUCUUAUCGUUCCAUUGACCAUGAUAAUCCACCCCUAUUGUUAUCGAUCCCUCUAUUAGUGGUACCUAAAUAAAGUCAUUUGUUAAAAAAAUUAAUAGUGAUUUUAAAGUGCCGUACAUAAAUCCCAACAGUUGUGUAAUCUGUUGCAAUAGGUAAGUGAUCAGUCGCAAUAGAUUACUUACCUGUUGGGAUUCAUGUUACACUCCUGAAGCUGAUUUCAACAGAUGAGUCAUCUAUUGUAAUGGGUGAAUCAUAUGUUGCAAC
This 556-nucleotide long non-coding RNA is filed under the name Capsicum annuum. RNAcentral's name for it is "long non-coding RNA (CANN_LNC018877)". Lineage: Eukaryota; Viridiplantae; Streptophyta; Magnoliopsida; Solanales; Solanaceae. The record is from RNAcentral.